GAUGAACGCUGACAGAAUGCUCAACACAUGCAAGUCAACUUGAAUUUGGGUUUUUAACUUAGGUUUGGGUGGCGGACGGGUGAGUAACGCGUAAAGAACUUGCCUCACAGCUAGGGACAACAUUUGGAAACGAAUGCUAAUACCUAAUAUUAUGAUAAUAGGGCAUCCUAUAAUUAUGAAAGCUAUAAGCGCUGUGAGAGAGCUUUGCGUCCCAUUAGCUAGUUGGAGAGGUAACGGCUCACCAAGGCGAUGAUGGGUAGCCGGCCUGAGAGGGUGAUCGGCCACAAGGGGACUGAGACACGGCCCUUACUCCUACGGGAGGCAGCAGUGGGGAAUAUUGGACAAUGGACCGAGAGUCUGAUCCAGCAAUUCUGUGUGCACGAUGAAGUUUUUCGGAAUGUAAAGUGCUUUCAGUUGGGAAGAAAAAAAUGACGGUACCAACAGAAGAAGUGACGGCUAAAUACGUGCCAGCAGCCGCGGUAAUACGUAUGUCACGAGCGUUAUCCGGAUUUAUUGGGCGUAAAGCGCGUCUAGGUGGUUAUAUAAGUCUGAUGUGAAAAUGCAGGGCUCAACUCUGUAUUGCGUUGGAAACUGUAUAACUAGAGUACUGGAGAGGUAAGCGGAACUACAAGUGUAGAGGUGAAAUUCGUAGAUAUUUGUAGGAAUGCCGAUGGGGGAAGCCAGCUUACUGGACAGAUACUGACGCUGAAGCGCGAAAGCGUGGGUAGCAAACAGG
This 736-nucleotide ribosomal RNA is filed under the name uncultured Fusobacterium sp. RNAcentral's name for it is "bacterial SSU rRNA". It matches the Rfam family "Bacterial small subunit ribosomal RNA", at positions 28 to 776 of the family's 1533-position model. Lineage: Bacteria; Fusobacteriati; Fusobacteriota; Fusobacteriia; Fusobacteriales; Fusobacteriaceae. The record is from RNAcentral.